UUUUUAAGAAGAUAAGAUAAUGCAAUCUUGAAAGCUUGUUUCUUAUGCAUUAAGCAUUUUGUGCUUUGAUAGUAAAUUUGAUGUCGCACAUAAUGUUUUUUCAGGUUUUGAUCCUUGUCAGAGAAGGGGGCAGAGAAAACAAGGGAAAAAAAGUAAAGUUUGUUCGUAACUUACUUCAUGGGUUCUGAAAACAGUGGUAAAAGCAUUUAACUCCAUCCAUCGUAGAAGCAGUUCCUCACUUCUUCGGUACUUGAUGAACGAAAUAGGAACUUCAUGAGCUUUUAGCACAUCCCAGAUUUGGCGGACUGCAUCAGUGCCACCCUGCAUCCCUACCACAGCACCUGAUAUUAUCCAUCCAGGAAGCUCUGGAGGCCUCCCAAUGGUCUCAGUGAAACGUUCAAUAAGCUCUGAUGGCGAGUUCCCAUGCAAUAUCCUUCCUUGAAUGGAAUUUCCAUAAAUCUGCCAUCUCCGGUUCCCAGAAAAUAGGAAAACUGUAAGUUUAAAAUUCUUAUAUGAGCGCCUUACUUGUGCUUUUGGGGAUAUCCUGAGAUGAAGAAUUUAGAUCUUUUCUCUUUACAUUAUAACUUUGUGUUAAAACAAAUCUCUUGCUUUUAUUUUUGG
Cucurbita pepo subsp. pepo (vegetable marrow) is the source of this 621-nucleotide non-coding RNA. The record is from RefSeq and is a predicted model, not a curated record. Lineage: Eukaryota; Viridiplantae; Streptophyta; Magnoliopsida; Cucurbitales; Cucurbitaceae.